CCCUUCUCCGUUAAACGGAGCUUGGUGAUGUGGCAAACGGAAGUCCAACGUGGCAUCCGUAUUAGGCUAUCAAUCCCGUUUUGUCCAUGUAUCCCCAAUUCAACAAACCCUAAUUGCCCAAUUCAGAUGAAUUGACGAAAUUAACCCUAAGUGAAACACCAUAUUUAACAAAGACUAUGUUGGACGCGCGAAACUGAAGAGUUUGUGGGUGGUCGUCUCUGUUUCUCUUCGUCUGUUGUCGCUUUAUAUUUGUUUCUUGGAUUUGGCAACGUCACAUGCAGUAUCACGUUUGGCGUUGAUAUGGAGUGAAGAAGUCGCUGUUGAUCAACCAAGGUUUUGAUGGCUACGCACAUCACAUUUGUUUAUCACCAUCGGGGUUGGUUAAAGAAGGAUGCAGAUGGUGUGCUGAAGUAUAAUGGUGGUUUAGUGAGUAUCAUCGAGAGGGUGCAUGUUGAUACUUGUAAUCUAUUCCUUGUUGAAGGCUUGUUUCUAGAUUUAGGUUAUACUAGGUUUAAUGAAGUUUAUUGGUUGGAGCCAGGGAUGGAUUUAGCUAACGGGUUACGGGUGCUCAGAAGGGAUGCCGAUGUGGUUAAGAUGUGUGAUGCUGCACUGAGGAAUGAAAACAGGGUCCACUUGUAUUUUGAGCAUCCAGUUGAUACAGAUCCAUAGUAUGUUGAUGAGGCUGAGGUUUUGGCUAACGAAGAUGUUGACAUGCCUCCUUUAGAAGACCAGCAAAAUCAUGACCAGGAACCCCAACAAAAUGAAGAGGAGGGAGGAUUUGAACAUACAGAAGUAGAGGGAGCUCCUUUAUUAAAUGAAGCAAAUGAACAAGACGAUCCCCCACAGCACGAGGAGCAACAACAAGAAGAGGAUGAACCAACAUUGAACAACGGGGGGUAUGAUGAAGCAUUGCCAGAGGAGGCUGGUACUGAAAAUCUUUCUAAUCAAACUGAGGCUGGAACAAUUGAAAAUGAGGCCCCCAAUUUAGGAGACAAUCAGCAGACACAUGUUGAAGACCAUGAGAGGCUAUCUAAUCGUGAAGAAGUUGAUGGCAGGGGAAGAAAACACAGGAAGAAACAUGCGAGGCCCCCACCAUCUGGUAGAGAUCAACCUGCACCACAAAACAAUAGUGAUGCACAUGCUGGAAUGCGUAAUGUUGUUGAAUUAGAUGAGGAUGCCUCUUGUGGGGUUCAAGGUCGGAGGAUUCAUCGAAGACCCCGUCCAUCUGGCCAGAGGAUUCUGCCACCUAGGGAAGAGAAUCAGGCCGCAAAGGGUGGUUGUUCCUAACCCAAAUGAUCAUGAUGAAGAGCCUACUGAAUAUCAGUAUCAUUCUGAAGAACUGCACACCCCACCAGGUUCUAAUUCUGAGGAUGAAAAUCCAGUAUUUCCUCAGCAUAAUCCUGAUACAAAGUUUGGCAAAAUUAGACUGGAGUUAGGGAUGGAGUAUGGCACGAUGAAGCAGUUUAAGGAUGCAGUCAGGAAGUAUAGUAUUCAGAUGGGGAGAGAAGCAUUUUUUUCUCAAGGUUGAACCACAUAGGUACAGGGUCAUCUGUUACAAUGAAACUUGUCCAUGGGAAGUUUACUGUCCAAGGAGAAACCAGCCACCUAGUUACCAAAUAAAAAUAUUGGUCGAUGAGCAUACAUAUCCUAGGAGUAAUAAAAGCAGGUUAGUCACUUGUAAAUGGGUGGCCGAGGAGUUGAUUAGCAAGAUUAGGGUAUGUCCUAACUUGUCCCAUAGAGAGGCUCGAGAUAUGUUCAAAGUUGAGUUUGAUAUCUAUGUCGGAGAGAGGAUGAUGUUUAGGGCAAUGGAGAAGGCUAAGGAUGUCAUCGAGGGAACAGAGAAGGAACAAUAUUUGAAGUUAAGGACUUACUUGACUGAGCUGUGUAAGGCCAAUCCAGGAUCCACUUGCCGUAUGAGCACAACCCCACAACAAGAGGGUCUGCCUAAGUUUAGAAGUCUAUACAUCUGUCUAGAUGCCUGCAAAAGGGGAUUCAAGCAAGGAUGUAGGCCUUUCCUAUGCCUUGAUGGAGCAUUUUUGAAGGGUUAUUUUGGGGGGCAGCUACUUACAGCCGUUGCUCAGAACGCUAACAAUCAUCUAUUCCCAGUUGCAUAUGGAGUAGUUGAUGCAGAAACAACGACCAAUUGGAAAGAAUUCCUAGAGUAUUUGUUGGAAGAUAUCGGGGAUCAUAGGCAAUUCGACUGGCACUUCAUGUCUGACAAACAGAAGGUUAGCCCUUAAAUUGUGUGUACAAUUAUUUUAUAGUAUAUUAUGUCUAACUUAGUUAUUUACAGGGGCUAAUACCUGCUCUACAAUAAGUUAUUCCAGGGGUUAAACACAGGUUCUGUACUAUGCAUAUGUGGAGGAAUUUUAACAAGCGUUGGAAAGACCUAGAACUUAAACAGUUGCUAUUUCAAUGUGCAAGGGCACUGACUGAUCAGAAAUUUAAUGAAGGUAUGGAUGCCAUCAAGAGAAUUAAUACUUCUGCUUGGGAAUAUCUGUCUAAGAAUGAGCAAGAAACUUGGUCAAGAUCAAGAUUCUCCACUUGGCCUAAAGUGGAUAACAUAACGAACAACAAUGCGGAGUCACUUAAUGCAACCAUGGUGGGGCUAAGAGGCAAGAGCAUCAUAACCAUGCUAGAGGAGAUUAGAUAUUACCUCAUGAAGACUAUGGCUAUGCACAAAGAUGCACUCAUGACCUACACGGGUAAACUGGCGCCUAUCCAAACCAGCAGAUUGGAGAAGGAAAAGAAGGAAGGAAAUUACUGGGAAGCUCAAUGGGUGGGAGACGAUGAGCACAAUGUCUUUGAAGUUAGAAGGCAUGGUCGAACAGUUCGGUAAACACUCACGAAAGGACUUGUACUUGUAGAAAGUGGCAACUGACAGGUCUGCCUUGCUAUCAUGGAGUUGCUGCAAUUCAAAGAAAAAAUCAACGACCAAAAGAUUAUGCCCACCAUUGGCUGACUAUGGAAUCAUACAAUAGAACAUACCAAUUUCACAUCAACACUGUCCCUAGUCAAGAAUAUUGGGCUGAUGCAGAAGGGCUGCCGUGUCUCCCUCCCCCUUAUAAGAGGCCAAUAGGAAGGUCUACAAAGAAGAGAGGACGACAUGAAUCAGAGAGACAAAGUGGGAGCCAGUACAAAAUCAAGAGGAGCUAUGAAAAAAUAAGUUGUAAAUUUUGCAAGAAGCUGAGGAAGAUGAAGAUGCACAACAAGCACCUCAAGCAGGUCAGCCAGCAACAGGAGGAAUUGUGCCACCCAGGGGCUUACAAGACAUGUCAGACUCAGAGCAGGAGAUGUUUUGAGAAGAAACCAUGGAUGCAGUUGAAGAGGAGCUCACCCAAGGCCACCCACAAUCUGAAGCUGAUGAAGAGGCCAACAUGAACACAUCCGGGGCAACAACUCAUGGUGAAGGAGGGAGAGCUGCUAGAUCCAACCCUGCAAGGAGAGCACCAAGAUCUGAAACUCCCUCCAAUGCUGCUGCGGCUGCUGCUGCAUCUACUAGCAAGGAAAGAUCCAGGGUAAAGAUGCCUAUUAGGAGACACCCCUUAGCCUAGCCAAGUAUGAGGCCCACAUCUACAGUUCCAACAGCCCAACCCAAUGUUAGGCCCAUAGCUCUAGGCCCACCAGCCACUCCAAGGCCCAACCCACCAUUUAGGUCCCCACAUAUAAGGCCCGUUGCACCUUCUACAAAUGCUGCUGUUGGUUCAGGAGUUUCAGACUCCACAAGGACUCCACUUGUGUCAAAUGAAACCAUGAAUGGUGCAUCUAAAGUAACCACUUCUAGGUUCUCAAAGUUCAUGCCAAAUCAGCCAUCUUGAGAGAAACUUUGGUGCAUAAUUAGUUGAUCUUUUGGGUUAUAAGUUGAUAUUUAAUUGCAGUGGUUUAUGUAGUUUUUGGGUUGUAUGUUGAUAUUUAGUAUGGUUGGUUAUUGCCUUUUAUUGGACAAUUUUAGUAUUUUGAUAUCUGGUAUUAAGACUGAUUAGCCAGUAUCUAGUAUUUUGGAUGGAACAAUUAGUUCUAAUGCUUAAUGUUAUGCAGACCAAUUACUUAAUCUUGUGCCUUUACCAAUUUUUAUUUCUUAGGUCUAUUUGAAAUUAGUUAACAUAUCUCAGUUACCUUUUUAGU
Arachis ipaensis is the source of this 4125-nucleotide non-coding RNA. Lineage: Eukaryota; Viridiplantae; Streptophyta; Magnoliopsida; Fabales; Fabaceae. The record is from RefSeq and is a predicted model, not a curated record.